UACGUAGGCAGCGAGCGUUGUUCGGAGUUACUGGGCGUAAAGCGUGUGUAGGCGGCUUGGCAAGUUGGAUGUGAAAGCCCACGGCUCAACCGUGGAAGCGCAUCCAAAACUGCUUCGCUCGAGUCUCGGAGAGGAAGGUGGAAUGCUUGGUGUAGAGGUGAAAUUCGUAGAUAUCAAGCAGAACACCUGCGGCGAAGGCGGCCUUCUGGACGAUGACUGACGCUGAGACACGAAAGCGUGGGGAGCAAACAGG
Molecule: ribosomal RNA, 253 nt
Filed under: uncultured bacterium
Lineage: Bacteria
Description: partial 16S ribosomal RNA
Rfam family: Bacterial small subunit ribosomal RNA
Source: RNAcentral